AUUGAACGCUGGCGGCAUGCCUUACACAUGCAAGUCGAACGGCAGCACGGGAGCUUGCUCCUGGUGGCGAGUGGCGAACGGGUGAGUAAUACAUCGGAACGUACCCUGAAGUGGGGGAAACGUAGCGAAAGUUACGCUAAUACCGCAUAUUCUGUGAGCAGGAAAGAGGGGGAUCGCAAGACCUCUUGCUUUAGGAGCGGCCGAUGUCGGAUUAGCUAGUUGGUGAGGUAAAGGCUCACCAAGGCGACGAUCCGUAGCGGGUCUGAGAGGAUGAUCCGCCACACUGGGACUGAGACACGGCCCAGACUCCUACGGGAGGCAGCAGUGGGGAAUUUUGGACAAUGGGCGCAAGCCUGAUCCAGCCAUGCCGCGUGAGUGAAGAAGGCCUUCGGUU
This 394-nucleotide ribosomal RNA is filed under the name uncultured bacterium. Its description in RNAcentral is "bacterial SSU rRNA". It matches the Rfam family "Bacterial small subunit ribosomal RNA", at positions 30 to 423 of the family's 1533-position model. The record is from RNAcentral.